Molecule: ribosomal RNA, 135 nt
Organism: Mustela putorius furo (domestic ferret)
Lineage: Eukaryota; Metazoa; Chordata; Mammalia; Carnivora; Mustelidae
Source: Ensembl
UAUGGCUAAACCACCCUGAACAUGCCCGAUCUCGUCUGAUCUCGGAAGCUAAGCAGCGUCAGUUCUGGUUAGUACUUGGAUGGGAGAACAUGGUCAAAAAAAGUGAUUAAUCCAGGAAGACAGAAGACUCCAAAC